This 428-nucleotide long non-coding RNA is filed under the name Carica papaya (papaya). Its description in RNAcentral is "long non-coding RNA (CPAP_LNC006474)". Lineage: Eukaryota; Viridiplantae; Streptophyta; Magnoliopsida; Brassicales; Caricaceae. The record is from RNAcentral.
CUCUCAACAUUUAUUAUGAAAUGCAGGUACAAGUACAUGAGAAGAGGAAGGCCCCCAUUGAAUAGAGCAACCCGAAAUGGGUCAUUUCAAGAGGAUGUUGAUAAGCUCUUCGAGAUGCUUGAGAGAUUUAUCUCUGCCCAGUAGGCUAAAGAAAAGAGGAGAGAGUUGUCUAAUCCUCGACAUUGCCACAAUAUGAGCUACCCCUUCAACGAGAGGAUCCAAUACCACCUCGGUAUAACCCUGCUCCCCCAUCGUAUCAUCCGGCACCGCCGCAGUACAAUCCGGUGCUCCCACCAUACAAUCAGGUACUGCUAGAGGAUCACCCGGUCCCUCACUAGCAUAAUCUAAUUCCUUUUCAAUAGGAUCCAACUCCAUCCGGGAUGGACCCAAGCUAUAUUGAGAAGUGCAAAAGAUUUAACCUAUCUACU